This 1737-nucleotide ribosomal RNA is filed under the name Triticum aestivum (bread wheat). Its description in RNAcentral is "partial small subunit ribosomal RNA". Lineage: Eukaryota; Viridiplantae; Streptophyta; Magnoliopsida; Poales; Poaceae. The record is from RNAcentral.
AUGGACAUACUUGCAGAGAUGAAGGCAAACGAUCCAGAAUUCAAUUAUACUGUCCAAGUUGAUGAUGAGAGCAGAAUAAAAACACUUAUGUGGGUUAACGGGCGCAGUGUAGAACAGUACAGGUGUUUCGGAGAUGUUGUGACAUUCGAUACAACAUACAUGACAAAUCUAUAUGACAUGCCAUUUGGACUGUUUGUUGGAGUCAAAAAUCACUUCCAGAGCAUUAUUUUUGGAGGUGUCAUGUUGCGGGAUGAAAAGGAGGAUACAUUCAAGUGGGUUUUCCGUGAAUUCAUCAGGAUGGUUGGCGGCAAACACCCGCAAACAAUUUUAACCGAUCAGGCGCGAUCAAUGGAAUUGGCUAUAGAAGCAGAAAUGCCUAACACAACUCACAGGUGGUGUAAAUGGCAUGUGCUGAAGAAAGCAAAGGAAUCUAUGGGGGCUUUGUGGAGCAAGAAGUCUGAUUUCAAGAGUGAAUUCCACAAGCUGGUGCAUCACAUGGUCACAGAACAAGAGUUCGAAGAUGGCUGGUCUGCAAUGCUUGACAAAUAUUCACUUAGAAAGCAUCCAUAUCUGACUCAAAUAUAUGAGGUGCGGCAUAAAUGGGCAAAGCCGUAUUUCAGAGGUGUUUUUUGCGCGAAAAUGACCAGCACUCAACGUAAUGAAAGUGCCAAUCACAUGCUUAAGAGUUAUGUCCCACCCAGGUGCCCAAUGCAUUUGUUCAUUAAACAAUACGAGAAGCUUCAGUUCGAUAGGGACUCUGAGGAGAGUUUCCAGGAGAAACGGACUGCUCUGAGUGGUGUUCUUUUGAAAGUAAAUCUCCCAAUUGAGAGGCACGCUAGCAAGAUUUACACCAGGGCAAUGUUUGAGCAAUUUGGCAGUGCUCUUUACAAGGCAGGGGCUUAUGAACUAGAUGUUGCUGUACCAAAAAAGGUAUACAUUCUUACUCAUGUGGAUGCGCUCUCUCGUGAGAAAUGGAGCAAGGUCCAGUUCAAGGUUGAUGUUGAUGAUGAUCAGACCUUUUUCAACUGCGAGUGUGGUAUUUUCGAGCAUUCUGGAAUGGUCUGCUGCCAUGCAUUGAAGGUUAUGAUCGAGCUCAAGUUGAGCAAGAUACCAGAAAAGCACAUAUUGAAGCGAUGGACUAGGGAUGCCCGUGAUAUCUUGCCUGAUCAUCUCGUUCGGUACCAGAAGGACAGAGGGCCACAUGGCUUUGACACUUACAGGCACAACACCAUGUACAUGAAGGCGCUGGAGUGUGUUCGACUCGGCGAUAGUAACGUGAAGUGCUAUGAUGUUUUCAUGGCAAUGGUGAAGGAGGUUCACACGACUCUUCUCCCACUAAGCCAUGACAAAGAUGGUAUGGGGCUCGAGGAGCGAGAGGCUGCGGAUCAGAAAGCCAAAGAAGGUAACCAUGGUAAGAUAAAUGUCGAGGCCAACAUCGAUAUAGAUGAGGGUGAUGCAGUGUCAAACUGUUCUGGUAUUGCACCUGCGAAAGAAAUGCGCCUGGCUGGCAGGCCAACCACAAGCAGAGAUAAGGCUCCGUAUGAAGAGAAACUGAAGAGGUCAAGGUUCUGCACGAUAUGCCGGCUUAAGGGGCACAAGAGCACAACCUGUCCAGAUACGGGAGAUAUUCCAAAAGCUCCGAGGAAGAUGCCCAAGUGUGGCAAAUGUGGAGUGGUCGGACAACGUCGAACUUCAUGCGGGAAGCGGGCAGAACCAUUUGUUCCGAAUUUCCUGUAG